GACUUGGCCCUGCGCGGCAGAGCCUUCGAAUCUGGUCAGGCCUGAGAGGGAGCAGCCAUAAGGAGUCUCCUCUGGGUGUCGUAGGAUCACCGGGUCUGA
This 99-nucleotide signal recognition particle RNA is filed under the name Chloroflexota bacterium. RNAcentral describes it as "signal recognition particle sRNA small type". It matches the Rfam family "Bacterial small signal recognition particle RNA". Rfam says of the family: The signal recognition particle (SRP) is a universally conserved ribonucleoprotein involved in the co-translational targeting of proteins to membranes. Archaeal SRP consists of a 7S RNA and homologues of the eukaryotic SRP19 and SRP54 proteins. Lineage: Bacteria; Bacillati; Chloroflexota. The record is from RNAcentral.